GAAAUGCGAUACGUGUUGCGAAGGAUGUCACCAGCAAACCCGAUGUCUCGCUCUGUGAAGAGCGUAGCUUACAACGCGACCCCAGGUCAGGCGGGGCUACCCGCUGAAUUUAA
This 113-nucleotide unclassified non-coding RNA is filed under the name uncultured fungus. RNAcentral describes it as "sequence contains ITS1". Lineage: Eukaryota; Fungi. The record is from RNAcentral.